This is a small nuclear RNA of Papaver somniferum (opium poppy), 106 nucleotides long. Lineage: Eukaryota; Viridiplantae; Streptophyta; Magnoliopsida; Ranunculales; Papaveraceae. The record is from RefSeq and is a predicted model, not a curated record.
GUUUUACCCUUCCGGGACAUCCGAUAAAAUUGGAACGAUAUAGAGAAGAUUAGCAUGACCCCCUGUCAAAGGUGAACCCCUCUACCUAUAUACGAAAUUCACCAAU